AACGAACGCUGGCGGCGUGGAUAAGACAUGCAAGUCGAACGGAUUAUCUUUCGUAGCAAUACGGGAGGUAGUCAGUGGCGCAAGGGUGCGUAACACGUGGGCAACCUGCCCGGAAGUGGGGGAUAGCUCGCCGAAAGGCGAAUUAAUACCGCAUGUGGCUAGGGAAGACAUCUUCCUGAGGCCAAAGUUGGCGCAAGCUAACGCUUCUGGAUGGGCCCGCGGCCUAUCAGCUAGUUGGUGAGGUAACGGCUCACCAAGGCGAUGACGGGUAGCUGGUCUGAGAGGACGACCAGCCACACUGGAACUGAGACACGGUCCAGACACCUACGGGUGGCAGCAGUCGAGAAUUUUUCUCAAUGGGGGAAACCCUGAAGGAGCGACGCCGCGUGGAGGAUGAAGGUCUUCGGAUUGUAAACUCCUGUCAUUGGUGAACAAGGCUAUCGGAGUAACUGCCGUAUAGUUUGAUAGUAGCCGAAGAGGAAGAGACGGCUAACUCUGUGCCAGCAGCCGCAGUAAAAC
This 519-nucleotide ribosomal RNA is filed under the name uncultured bacterium. RNAcentral describes it as "bacterial SSU rRNA". It matches the Rfam family "Bacterial small subunit ribosomal RNA", at positions 29 to 526 of the family's 1533-position model. The record is from RNAcentral.